Molecule: ribosomal RNA, 433 nt
Filed under: uncultured bacterium
Lineage: Bacteria
Description: partial 16S ribosomal RNA
Rfam family: Bacterial small subunit ribosomal RNA
Source: RNAcentral
AACGAACGCUGGCGGCAUGCCUAACACAUGCAAGUCGAACGAGACCUUCGGGUCUAGUGGCGCACGGGUGCGUAACGCGUGGGAACCUGCCCUUAGGUUCGGAAUAACUCCCCGAAAGGGGUGCUAAUACCGGAUAAUGUCUUCGGACCAAAGAUUUAUCGCCUUUGGAUGGGCCCGCGUUGGAUUAGCUAGUUGGUAGGGUAAAAGCCUACCAAGGCGACGAUCCAUAGCUGGUCUGAGAGGAUGAUCAGCCACACUGGGACUGAGACACGGCCCAGACUCCUACGGGAGGCAGCAGUGGGGAAUAUUGGACAAUGGGCGAAAGCCUGAUCCGGCAACGCCGCGUGAGUGAUGAAGGCCUUAGGGUUGUAAAGCUCUUUUACCCGGGAUGAUAAUGACAGUACCGGGAGAAUAAGCUCCGGCUAACUCCGUG